RNAcentral lists this ribosomal RNA (230 nucleotides) under uncultured microorganism. Its description in RNAcentral is "partial 16S ribosomal RNA". It matches the Rfam family "Bacterial small subunit ribosomal RNA", at positions 524 to 753 of the family's 1533-position model. The record is from RNAcentral.
UACGUAGGGGGCGAGCGUUGUCCGGAAUUACUGGGCGUAAAGCGCGCGUAGGCGGAUAAUUAAGUCAGAUGUGAAAACUCUGGGCUCAACCGAGAGCAUGCAUCUGAUACUGGAUAUCUUGAGUGUAGAAGAGGAGAGUGGAAUUCCUAGUGUAGCGGUGAAAUGCGUAGAUAUUAGGAGGAACACCAGUGGCGAAGGCGACUCUCUGGUCUAUAACUGACGCUGAGGCG